This 293-nucleotide ribosomal RNA is filed under the name uncultured bacterium. Its description in RNAcentral is "partial 16S ribosomal RNA". It matches the Rfam family "Archaeal small subunit ribosomal RNA", at positions 455 to 747 of the family's 1478-position model. The record is from RNAcentral.
GUGCCAGCCGCCGCGGUAAUACCGGCAGCUCAAGUGAUGUCCCAUAUUAUUGGGCCUAAAGCGUCCGUAGCUGGCCGACCAAGUCUCCCGGGAAAUCCGCCCGCUUAACGGGCGGACGUCCGGCGGAAACCAUACGGCUUGGGACCAGAGGACCCGAGGGGUACGUCGGGGGUAGGAGUGAAAUCCCGAGAUCCUCGACGGACCGCCGGUGGCGAAAGCGCCUCGGGAAGAUGGAUCCGACGGUCAGGGACGAAAGCUUGGGUCUCGAACCGGAUUAGAUACCCGGGUAGUCC